AUUUUCAACGAUACUAUCAUCUGGGGCACGAAAUCAAGUAGCGAUAACAUCAAAAUGAUCCCUGCGACGUAAGUAUCGCUAUAUCACUUUUUUUCUUUAUAGUUUGAGUUUAGAAGGUAUUUUGAAGUUAAUAAAAAUGCCUAAUUUCUGGUUUUAAGAUCUUAAAUAUCAAGGAAGGUUGAUUAAUUGAUUUCAUAAUAGUUAGAACUCACGGGACGGUGAUCGGAAGCCGUGAGUUCGAGUUAUUUGACUUGUAAUGGACUGUUUUUGAGUUGUUUUGUGUAGAUUUUGGGAUGUCUAUUUUGUUGCUGUUAAAUGAAGUUUUUGGAGGGUAAAUUGUGUGGAGAAACACCACAUAAUGGCAAAAUCAUGGAUUAGUCAUUAUGUUUGACACUACUAUAGUCGUCGUUUUGGAUAUGAAUUGAUUGGGGUGUAUUGGGCUGUUGUAAGCUAAAUAUAAUAUGGAUUUCGACUUGCAUCUACUGUAUGAGGUAAUUCUAUUGUGUUCCUACCGGUUCUUAAGGUUAUCUUGGCAUUGGUUAAGUUAAAUAGAUGAACUAGACUUGAACUAGUGAAUAAAGUUGCUAAUUAAGAAUAAUUGGAGUUGUGGAUCAUUUUCUUUGUUAUGGAUAUAUGGUAUAAGGCUGGAAUUAUUGAUGAAUGACUUCAUUAUCAUGUUAAUGAUACUAUUAAGUUAAAGCAAAAAGUCUAUAAGGGAUGAUAUGGGGUAUACGAAUUCCAAUUGGAGCUUGUCGCUCGUCGUAAAAUAGUUAUGACUUUUUGUUGUUUUAUGGUGUCUUGUUAUUGAUAAUUAUGUAUUGCUGGAUUUCUUUGGUAAUUGUUGUUGGUAUAUGAUAUUGGAGGAGGCUCUUGUUACAGGGGAGAUGCUACCCGAAUUUAUAUAAACGAGCUACAAGUUUAAGUUGCAGACUUGGCCUUUAUUCAACACUGAUUUUGAAUCUCCUUAUGCAAUGGAAGAUUGAGUUAAGUUGUUUGAAGAGUAGCUUGGGAGGUAUUAAGGACUCACCACGGUUAAGGUAUGUUAAGGCAUUUCCCUCUUUCUUUUGGCAUGAUCUAAAGUGAAAUGAAUACGCUAUUUUAUAACGGAUCUACUACUAGAAACUAAGGUUGCCCAUGUUUUUCUUUCCUUAUAAAGUUAUUUUAAGCAAGUAUGUAUGAUCCUUGAAUCCUACAGAAGCUCAUAUUGAUGGUAUAAUGUCCAUAAUGUUAAUCGAAGGUGCAACGAUCUUAAGUCACUCCAAAAGGUUUAGAACGUGAUUCCAUAAGUCUAGCAUGCAUUAUAUAUAGCAUCUAUUUUACUCUACCGAGCCGCGCUAUAGUAGGCCAAGUAUGACACCUAUUGUGCAACCACUGAUCAGUUGGAUUUACCGAGCUCCACGUGGCCGGGUACGAUUCUACCGAGCCUUAUGAUGGACGGGUACGCUUUCACCGAGUCCUCUUUGAGGCUGGGUACGAUAUGAUGAUGAUGAUGCCUACAUAGGCGUAUGUUUUUAAAAGUUUAUGUAUAUAUAUGUAUUAUGCAUUUCAUGUUAGUAGCCCCCAGAGGUACGCAGAUGUUACAAGUUGUAUCUCCUCUAUCUCUCUUUAUAUUACUAUUCCUGUUUAUGCUUUCCUGCCUUACAUACUCGGUACUUUAUUUGUACUAACGUACCUUUUGCCUGGGGACGCUGCGUUUCAUGCCCGUAGGUCCCAAUUGAUAGGUUGACAUUCCUCCGAGUAGGCUAUCAACUUAGCGGAGGUGUUGGUGCACUCCACUUGCUCCGGAGUUGCCUAUUUGAUCAGUAUGCUUUGGAUAUGUAUUGAUUGGGUGGGGCCCUAUUCCGACCUUUAUGAUUUUAUAUACUCUUAAAGGCUUAUAGACAGAUGUCAGGUUUAUGGAUACUUGUAUGGCCUUGUUGGCCUGCGUGUUGAGUAUUCCCUUACGUUUUAUUCUUGUUAUCUCAUGACGGGUGGCUCAUUUACUCAAGAUAGUAUAAUAAGAAAGAUAUAUUAUCUUGGUACUCGGUUGAGUAGGGCAUCGGGUGCCCAUCACGGCCUUUUGGUUUGGAUCAUGAUAGAAGUGGUAUCAGAGCAGUUCUGUCCUAGGGAGUCUACAAGCCGUGUCUAGUAGAGUCUUGUUUAUGGGUGUGUUGUGCACCACACUUAUAAGCAGGAGGCUACAGUGCAUUUAGGACUGUCACUCUUUCUUCUUGUUCUAGAUCGUGUGAUAGAGCUCAGUUGUAAGAAUUCAAACUCCUAAAUUUUGUUUUAUUCAUAAUACAGUGAUACCUACAUCCAGAAAGACAGUUGGUAAGAGAUUGAAUUUUGAUGCGAAAGAGUUGAGUCAGAGGAACUCGAUUUUGCAUCAUGCUUAUGAUGACUAAAUAUGAGGUCUUCAGCAGAUCAUAUGUGUACUAAGAUGUGUAAGCUUCUUGAUAAGGAGUCAUAAGGCAAGAAUAUAUAUCCACUCAUAUGGUAAAAAGGAAUAAGAGAAUCGGAAAGUAGACACAAGUUUCAGCAAGUAAAACAAGCAAGAUGAUGAAGUGUAUGAGGUACCUAGUUAAUGAAGAUUAUCAGUAUUUACAAUUCAAGCAGAGAAAUGUAAAUAUUGGUGUUACCUUAAAUAUUAAUGGUGAUAUAUACUAUUGACCACACUCAUCUCAGUUAUGCCCUAUGGGACCUAACAAAUAUAGUUUAAAAGAAGAAGGUGAUAUCAAGAUUCAAUUCGGGUUAGAGUAACCAAAAAUUAUGGAUGGAUUGUUAUCAUUAACUAAUGUAUCCGAAGGAUAGUGUAAAUGUGGUAAUAGAUCUCCUUGUGAGACACCUAGAUGGUAAACUUUAGAAUAGUACAAUCAGAUAUGAAUACUAGAAUAUUCAGAAAUUUCAGAAGAUAGGUAGUGGGAUCCUAGAAGGGAAAAAUAUUUCCAUUAGUAUGACUCCAGCCCCGAGUAAAAAAAAGGGAAGAAUGUUAGGCAUUCCGAAGAUCCAGUGAGAUAAAGCAAGGGGAGCUAAAAGUGAAAGAACAUUUUGUUCAAGUUUCAGAAUAAUGUGAUAGACAAAAAUAUUAUCCGGAGAAUAAGAAGAGAGUAAAUGAAGCGUCAUGGGUAAGAUAUAAUAUAUGGGUGAUAACAGUAAAUCAAAAUAUGACACGAUGAUAGAGUCUAUAGUCGAGUGAAGGAAAAUACAAGAGGUGACAGGCCUUGAGGCAAUAAAUGAGUAUAGGCCAUAAAGUCAUAUCCUUAUUUCGAGAAUGAGUUGGUGACUUCAACGUGAUUAUCAAGAGGAAAGGUUAGACCCUAGAGUAGUAGAAGUUAGUAUGGGCUGGUGAACAAGAUAAACUGAACAUGAAUUAGGGACUGAAGGAUUUUAUAAUAGUUGAUAUCAUGUGAAUUUCAGAGAUAACAUUCCGAUAAUAAUAUAAUGGACAACAAAAGAAUAACCUUUAAGGUUCAUUUAGGAAGAUGUUUCCCUAAAGCAAGCACGUGGAGCAAAGUUAAGCUUAAGGGACUAAGUGUGCCAGUUACAUUAAGUGUCACCCUUGUGCAUAAUAAAUUCAAUUAUCCCUGGUAUAGAGAGGUUACCGCAAGGCGAGUAAGAUGUUAGUGAAGAUGUGAAAAAAUACCAAGAUGAAGAGGUAACUAUGGAAUAGUAAAUGAAGAACCAGUAAAAGGGUGAAAGGAAUGAGAUUGCAUCUAUUCAGAUCCUAUAGAUAUGAUAUGACUCCUAAACAUUAUGCAAGCAUGAUGCCAGAGAGAAGCGAUAAGGGUUACGCACCCGAUGAUAUUGAUAAAUAAGUGCAAAUGAACACUUGAUACAUUAGGAGCCAAUGCGAGAGGUAACUUAAGACAAAAUAAAUAACUAAAGAGAGAUUACACGAAAUAUAGGUAUGAGAAUGGAUCAAUGAGUGGUUUGUAGUUGAUUUAGGAAGAGCCAAGUUAUGGCUAUACAAGAGGUUAUAAGCAAAUCAGCAGAUCAUGCAAGAUAAACGUAGUGAAUCCUAAUCUAGUAAAUUCAGUCUCGCAGAUAUGAUGUCGUAACCUUGAGAAAUAUUCAGAUAGGAGUUGGGUUAUUAAAGGUACCGUAUAAGUGUUACGGAAAUAAUGGAGAGUGCCACUAAGGAGACAAUCAAAUCAGAGUUUAGAAGUAACCCUACGAGCACAAGGGCACGAAGGUAUGUAACUAAGGAUGUUUGUAGGCGAGUAAGAACAUCGAAAAUUCCUUCGGGUAUACAGUAUAAUAAGAUCGUAACGUUACAAGAUCUAGAAGGUCUCCUUAAGUACUACAAAGAUAUACUAGCUGAGGAAAUAAGGAAAAAGGCUUCAACUUAAGCAUAAUGACAUAAAGAAGAUAUGGUCGGGUAACAACAGUCCCACUACAAUAUUGUAUGCACUCAAUACGAAAGUGUCACCUAUCGUGGAUAACGAACGGGAAGUCAAAAGUGCUAUUUGAGAUUAUAUGAGUUACAUCAAAUUCAAGUAUUCGUGGGCAAUAAGAUAAGCCAAUUAUUCAUGUAACAAGUGACGUAACGGCCAUGAAAAGUGAUUGAUUACAUUUAAAGAAAGUUGAGAAGGCACGAAAUGAAUUAUUCAAUCAAUGACCCAUAGUUGGUUAAGUUGUGAACGCACUUAAGAUUUUAGAUUUAUAUCCAUGACAUUCAUACAACUAUAGGAAACUCUAGUAUAAGUAAAAGAAAUAAUUAAGUCCACGUCACCGACAAAAACUUGAAUUGUUAGAAGAUUAUAUCAUGGAUGCUACAUAGAGUCCAUAAAAGGCUAAUGUAAUAGCUAAUACCCUAACCUGAAGAUUGGAAGAUUGACUAAGCUUAAUUAAAGGCUGAUAAGGAAGAGGAAGCUCGAAAGUUACAUCACGAGAACAAUUGUUCGACCCAGAUGAUUAUAGAAAUCGUGACUCAAACCAUAGCAGGAGCACUUUUAAUAGCAGAGGUAUAAAAGAGGUAGUACAACAAUCAUAUUCUAUAAAAGUUGUACGAUAAAGCAAUUAGAAGAGUACCAGCCUCAUAAGACGUUAAUACGAAGCUCCCACCAGAUUGUGUAUGCACUAGGGUUGCAAGUAUUAUGGUAGUGCUUUAAGGUAUGGAUGUGAAUUCCACCAAUGUAGAAGGGAGGUUAUGAAAUCGAUAGAAGAUACGGUGCGAGAUUUAAAGGUAAGUAUGGUAAAGGUGAGUGAGAAGGUGACAAUAAUAGGCAAGGUCUCAGGAUUAAACUCGUUAAAACAAGAGGGAUGAUGCUUUCCAUGAGCUAUAGAAAGCUUGGUACACUCUGAAUGAACUCAGAGGAGUCUAAGAACAGGAGCAAUUAAGAGAGAUGGAAUACUGCCCUGGUAGUAGAAUAAAGGUGUAAUUGUGAUAGUUAAGAGAAUGAUGUUUGGGCCUUCGAUUGAGUAAUGAUUUAAAGAAAAGGGAUUUCAUGGAUGGUGUGAGCACGUGAUUUUUGCUUCACGAAAAAUACUCCAAAAGAAAUCAAAAAUAAAACAAAAUUCUCUUGGUGAACAAUUUUUAGAAUUUAUGUGGCAUUUUUGGAUAAUUAUUUGUGUUUCUUACCGUAAAUGUUUACCUUGUUGUAGUUAAUUGAAAAAUGCAAAAAAAUACAUUUUGUAUGCAUAUUUAGGAAUUAAUUAAACCGUCAUUUGGCUCUUAAAAAAAGAAAAUCACAAAAAUAUGUGUUUUAUUCUAUUUGUUGUCAUUGUGUGAUUUUAUUUUAAGGUUUUAAUUUGUGUGUUAAUUGUUGUAAGUAUUAAUUAAUAUUUGUGUAGUUGUAUCUUGAUUUUACAAUUUAAUUCGGAAUUGUGUUAAAAUUAGGAAUUAAAGAAGGAAAAGGAAAAGAGUUCAAAAAAUGAAGAAAACUCGGAUUGGGCCACAAGGUUUUAAAUGAAAUUGGGCCCAAAUCAAUACCCAAUGCAUGACCCAAUCCAUUGCCUGGUCUCAGAUAACCCCAAACGACGCCGUAUUGGCGUCUCAAAUCUGAGUCGUUGAUCAAACUGGAUCGAACGAUCCAGUUCAGCCCCUGCAUAGUUGAAAUGGCGCCGUUUCAGGCAUGUCAAUCUAAACCGUCCAUCUCCAUUGAUCCAAUGGUCCCAAGCUUCCCUCACAACCCGGUCCAUUUCGACCCGGGUCGACCCAGUCUCUGAAUAAGACCAAACGAUUCGUCCCCUUUAAGUGAAUUGAUCCAGGCCGUGGGUCGUGAUUGAUCCAACGACCAAGAUCAAACCACCACUCCCCUAUAUAAACUUAAUAUCCUACCCCAGCCCCCUCAAACCAAACACCCCCCCCCCCCCCCCCCCGUUGCCCUGUUCAUCGUCUCUUUCAAAGACGGACCCCAAACCCUAGCCGCCCUGAAAUCCCUCCGUUUGAAAGUCGGCGGCAACAACGCCGGUGACCACCACCUUAACACCCUAAGACCAUCUGACCACCCCCGUUCCAAAUAUAAUACUCGUGUAGUUCGAAUCUUCCCCCAUAUUCUCGAAUCUUCAUUUGAAGAUUCGAGCCAAACGGAAACCUACACCAACCAACCCCAAACUCACCCCAAGGCACCCCCUAACCACCCUCGUUACGGAUCUGUUGGUUGCUCACCUCGAAUCAACUUCCAACUUCUCGAAUCUUCAAUCGAAGAUUCGAGAAGGACUUAGAACUACCCCAUCCACUCCAAAUUCAUACCAUGCAACUCCCAGACCUCCCUCAUACCCUAAAUAACUUUGGUUCCCUUCGAAUCUGGCUAGAAACAUUCGAGCCCUAAAUCAAAAAAAUUAGGAACCCUAGAAAUUCAAAUCAUGGAAUCCGUCCAAAUUAAGUGAGGAUUUGGGGUCUAAUCGACCUUAAUCGAAGUGUUCUCAGUUGAGAACACUUCGACUAAGGUCUGUUCGACCUUAAAGUGUCUGAGUCCGAAGAUCGAGCCUGGGUCCGCGUAAUUCUGAUAUUUUGAGGUAUUUUCCUUUUUCACUUGUAUCUGUUUAUAUCUAUUUAUUUGUUAGUUUAGUUUUAUUGGUUUUUUAAUUCUUUUUGUCAAUUAAUUCUGUUCAUCUUCAGUAGACCUUUUUAUUUGGUCCAAUUCUAUCAUUUGUUUAUGUUUGCUAUAAUUGUUAUGUGUAAUAAUUUGUGUAAUCGAUUAAUAAGUUGCGUCGAUUAAUUAGUUUCCAGUUAAUCUAUAUUUUUGUCAAUACCACUGAAACUACCCGUGAAUUGCCUGAUUAUCUGGGUCUGAUUGUUUAGUGUCAAUUGUUAUAGGCAAUCAGUUAAUUAGUUUCGUCGAUUAAUUCGUUCUUGUUUAUAGACCAAUAAGUUCGUCAAAUGGUUGUUGUAUGUGCUGAUCUAUGGACACUUAGUUUCAGGGCAUUGUCAAUAGGCUGACAAUGAUCCUGCAUUCAUGUUGAUUCUAAUUUUAUUAUUCAGUUUCAGCUUUAAGGAUUCUGUUGAGUUCUAUGUUGUGUUAAGUCUGGUUUUGAUUUAAUUUCAGUUCAUUUGUUCCAAUUGAAUUCUAACCUCAGUCAUUCAGUUAUCAGAAAUAAGUUUGGUUAUAGUUGUUAGUCAGGCUUAAUUUUCAAAUCUUUGUUAGUUGAAAACAGAUUUCAGAAUUAAAGUUUUAAUACAGUUAAAUAAUUGUAUUAGGAGACUGUAAUAUUAAGGGGUUUCAGGGGUGAUUUGGGAAUGAAACAGUUAGGAUAAUAUUUUAAUGUUAGUGUGUUGUUAGUGGGAUGUUAGUGUCUUUAAAUUAAUACACUAAUGGGGAACAAAAGGGAAUGGGGGGCUGAAAUUAAGGAAAAGCUUUCCUUAGUGGGAUUCUAGCGGAAAAUUCUUGUUUCAAUAAGAAAAAAGGUUGGGCAGUAGGUUGGAGGGGGGCAGACUUGUAUAAAAGGGUGUUGAGGAUGGAAGUUAGAAAGGGGGACUGAUUUUUAAACCUUAGAGAGAGAGAAUUUGAGAAAAAGAACUAAGAAGAAAAGAAGAGACAGAAUAAGACUGAAAAAGGACUUCUUCUGAAAAAUACUAAAAAAUAAAAAGAAGGAGGAUUGGAGAGUUGGUUUCCCUUCACCUCUGAAAAUCAAAAUCAGUUUUGUUAGUAUUUAAUAAAAGUUCAAAGUGUUUCUUUCUUGGAGAGUUUAAAAAACAGAAAUCAAAGUUUGCUAUUCUAUUGCAUUUCUGGUUCUACUGUUCUGUUUAGGAUUGUUGGUUUGUUUUCUGGAAUUUCAUUGAAGUUUCAAGUGGUUUUCUGAGUUUGUUAUUUCUGGUCUAUACUGGUUAUUUAUUGCUGUUUCUAGUAUAUCUGUGUUGUUGCCUUGUAUUUCUGAAAUUACAACUGGAUUUCUGAGUUUAUUGCUGGGUUUUUAAUCUCCUGGUUACUGGUUGUUGUUGUUCUGUUGCUGCACUGUUACUGCCCUGAUGAUCUCUCAUCUUCCUCUUCUUUUAUUUCAAUACCAGGUACACUUUCGAAUCAAUACUGAUGUGGCUAUGAGAUGUGAAAGUUAAAAAAUGAAAUGCUGGGUGUUUUGAUGAAU
RNAcentral lists this long non-coding RNA (8505 nucleotides) under Nicotiana tabacum (common tobacco). RNAcentral describes it as "long non-coding RNA (NTAB_LNC017509)". Lineage: Eukaryota; Viridiplantae; Streptophyta; Magnoliopsida; Solanales; Solanaceae. The record is from RNAcentral.